This 8696-nucleotide long non-coding RNA is filed under the name Chlamydomonas reinhardtii. Its description in RNAcentral is "long non-coding RNA (CREI_LNC001201)". Lineage: Eukaryota; Viridiplantae; Chlorophyta; Chlorophyceae; Chlamydomonadales; Chlamydomonadaceae. The record is from RNAcentral.
AUGCAAGAGCAUGGGCCACAUUUCAGUUCUCCGGCCAAGAAGGAGAAGUCGGCCAAGGAUGCGUGAGCGGGUGAAGGGCCAGAGACGCUUCAUUUGCGUGUACCACGCCGUUCCAGCACCAAUACAAGGUGGGUGGUGAUGGCCACACGAUGUCGUGCUGGGCCUUGUCCUGCUAACGACGACGAGCUCAUCCAGUCCCAAGGCCCAGCACGACAAGUGGCUAUCCACGCUCACCACGUAUUGCUGCUGGAACGGCUUGGUGCACGCAAAUGAAGCGCCUCUGGCCCUUCACGAGCUCACGCAUCCUUGGCCGGCUUCUCUUUCUUGGCCGGAGAACUGACAUGUGGCCCAUGCUCUUGCAUAUGCUGCACGGUCUGCAGUCCGGCGCGCUCCAAGCCGUCCUUAAUGGAGCGGCCGGCUUGCUGGAGCGAGUGUCCGACGUAAGCAACCGCGCCGGAAGCGGUAACACACGCGAGGAUCACGUUUGGGUCCAUAUUGCUGCAAUGGUGCAAGAGAUCUUUCGUUCAGGCCUCCUCCCUGCUAAAAGAACUCCUGCUGCCAGAUGCUUACCACCUUGCAAGAGUUGUCAGCGUUGGCUUCUGUGAGGUAUUCAGCUUGCUUGUGAACAUAAAUCAGCUUGCUUUUACUUGUUCUGCACGGGUUUGUCCCGUCUAGGUCGCGUUUCCGCCCAUUUGCUCGCGAUCAGGCCGAUGGGCCGAUGGGCUGCGCCCCCCCCCCCCCCCCCAAAAAAAAGAUUCAAGUGCGCCCCCACCCCAGCAACGACAGCAGCACCAGCAGCACAGCAGUGCUUUACAACUUGGUACACAGCCAUGCCACAACGCGGAUGCGCGCAUCUGUAGCCAUGUCAGCCAGGCAUUGUCACCGUGCAUGAAGAGGAGCAGUGCACGCGUCGCGACCCACACCGAACCACCCCCCUGCACCUACGGCCCCCCACCACCACACUGUGCCCACAAACUCACACCCCUCCCCGCUGGUUAUGGCAGGCUAAUGUACAUGCCUUUCCGCGCGGGGCACUCCCGCCCAUCGUCCGUUUGCUCUCAGCUUCCUCUCGUGCUCACUGCCGCUAAAGCCAUCACGCACACGCCGGCCUCUCGCUCUCAAGCCCGACCCAACACCUCAUCAUCCAAGCGCCUAUGCUGAUCGAAACCCACGUGCGAAAGCCCUGCGCGCAAUACCCCAGUCAAUAGCGGGCAGUCGCCACGGCGUGCCGCGCCCACGGAUGGCGCAUUACCGCACCUCCGCUUGCACCGCAUUAGUGGGUGUGUGAUGGGACAGGGUUUAGGCAGGUUGGCGAGGUCCCGUAGGGUGCAGCUGAUGCCCAUAUCCCAAGCAGACGGCAGACAGUUUGCAGUGGCAGAGCAGAAGUGCAUGGCUGGUCGAACGCCGGAGUUACUGUACCGACAAGUUGCUGGCUGGCUGGAAGUUUGCUGAUGCGCAUUCCUCACGCUCUGGGCGCCCCGCCAGGCGAUAGCACCACACAGACACACCGCAACGCCACACUCGCGAUGCAGAGCCGCAGCGCACCUGCAGGAAGAUGGCCAGCGUCCACGGAUGAGCACCAGAGGCAACCGCAGAGAAAAUGCAGACAGAGUGCAGCAAAGCAGUGGCCGGGCGACAGUGUGACAAGCAGGGGCGAAAACAGGGCGAGGCAAGGCAGAAAAGGGAGCCCGAAUGUACGGAUAAGUGGCGGGCGAGAACCGCAUUAGUGGGUACUACCACAUACUAGGCACGCAAGCCAGGAACCCGUGUGCCCCUGUGCCCAUGCGGCGGCGGCGGCAGCGGCGACAGCGACGCAGGCACGUAUCCUCCACACCCGCCACGCACCAGCAUCAGCCCCCUCCAAAACCCCGCUCCAUCACUACCACACGCACGCGCCUUGGUGAGAGAAAUGCGUGUGUGUUUGUGUGCGUGUGUGAUUGUGUGCAUGUGUGAGCGUCGGCAAAUGCCAAGCCCGAAUGCAAACGUACGGCACCCGCCGGGAAAAAAACUGGUCUGGUCUGGUGAUACGCAGAACCGCGCGUACGGCGUCCCGCCGCGCGUGGCAAAGUCGCAACGCUCUUCACACGCGUGCGUGCUGCCGUACCGGGCGCCACGCUAUGCCGUACUCAGCCAUGUCACCGUGCCCGACACGCAAACAGUCCGUGGGGGAGAGCCAUGCGCAGCCCCCCCUCAAUAGCCAUGCUAAUCCCGUGAAGAGCCAUCAUGCAAGCCCACUGCGGUGCGCAGGGGCACAAAACUUGAGCAGCAGCAUGUGCAGCAGCAGCAGCAGCAGCCAACAAGACGCACACACGUACACGCGUGCGUGCUGCCUGCCUGGCCCAGCGCGCGUAUCUUACGAAGGCAGGGGCGGCGUCAGUGGCCGAAUUCCUUAAAAUGGCUUCGUUUAGUUGACGAAACAGGCUGCCGCCGCUUCGUUCACCCCCAAAAUUUUUCCGGGGGCUCCGCCCCCGACCCGCACGAUGUCGACACCGACACGACACGUUCCCUGCUUCCCGCCGACCCAACCUCACUCUCCCGCCAGGGGAAACCCUGUCUCCCGCCGUCAACACCCAUAGAUACAGCCCUUUGAGCCUUCUUACCAUACGCCACGCAGGUUUCGGCCGUGGAGUAGCCGCUGGAACCCCCUGUCCUUGGUAAAAAGUGGCCGAAAUCCCAAAAAUGUCUUCGUCUGUUUGCCGAAAGACCCCCCAAGAGCCCGUGCGUUUUGGCCGAAAUUCCAAGUCAAAAUCAAAAAAAUUUCGUCCGCCAGAGGCCUUCUUGGGCAAAUUUCGUUCCGAACGAAGGAAGAUACGAGCGCUGGCCUGGCCGCCUGCCUACAAAUGUGGAAUGUCACCGGGGCCGCAUCUGCCGGCCCGGCCUGACCUCGGGUGAAUCAUGAACGCAAGCCCACUCCGCCAUCCGCUCUGGUCUGCGUACGCAUUAGUUCCGCAACACUCGUCAUUAAUCACGAUGGUGGUGCGAGAGGCAGGUUUGACAUAGUGUGUUGCUCGCAUACCGUACGUGGCUCGUGGGGGGUGUGAAAACCAAGCGAUGGGACAGGGGCAGGGGCAGGUUGGCGUAGUCCCGUAGUGUGCAGCGGACAACCAGACCCCAACAUUCAAUUUGCAACGCCAAGGCCAGAUUGCGCGUUUUGGUGCUGGGCAGUGCCUGCCUGUUGUGGUGCGCGUCGCCACGCGCUCGCUGGCCGUUGGGCUUCCUGUCGUGUCAGCAGGUGAACCCCUGCGUGUAUUUGCCCUCGGCCACCCCUGCUCUCGGAUGUUCGUGUCGAUUCCGUCCCUUCCCUGUCAGCCCGGCUCCUUCUGAUCAGCUCAUCAACCGGCUGUUACAGCGGAGGCCGACAGCUAGCCUGCACAGCUGCACUGCAACACCCAUGCACACCACAGGUGCUACAGCCCCAUCACGCUGCCUGGCACGCACACAGCACAGGUUGCAAGGCCGUACGUAGCGAAUACUUGUCCACCAAUGCGACAGGCGUGCUGUUUGCCACCAUAGAGCAGUGCGCCACAUUUUCCGCCACUGUAAGUCGGUAGGUUACCGUAUAAGACUGGUGCCGGCCAGCUGCACGGCCUCUCGCAGCUAAAACCUGCUGGGCCCCCUUUCAUCUGUCAUCACUACGUGGGGUUAGAGGCGGAGGACCGGAGGCCCCGAAGGGGCCGGAGGGAAUGAAGCCUCUAAGCGAGCUUCCAUGAGGAAGUCGUACAGGCUGGCUCUCUUUGGCGCCAGCCUCCUCUCUCUUCUUCAUUCCGCCUUCAUAGUGAGAGCUUUUAACGUUACUUCUAACGUUCUCACUCAAGUGCCCGCCCUUCUUUCCCGCCCCUCUUUUUCGGCUAAUCUCCCCUCCGCGCAGGAUCGCUCGGCCCUUCCGGCGCCGGCGCCUCCGGCAUCCGUGCUGUUGCCUCGGUGUCGCCGCCGGUUCGCGCGGCCGCCGGCCCUCGGCCCGCCGCCGUGGUUUUGGCGGCGCCGCCGGCUGGCGGCUUGGCCGCUGGCGCGGUGGCGCCUUUGGCGGCGCCCCGGGCGCUGGUGCUUCGUGGCGUGGGCCGCUCGUCUCGCCGGGGCGUCACGCGUGGCGUGCGGGUUGCUCGUGGUGUUCGGCUCGCCGUGUCGGGCCGUCGGCGUUCGAGUUAGCUUGUUGGCUGCGCUUUGGUUGCGGUGGCUCCGUUCUGAGGCUGUGUUGUUGUUUGCUGCUGAUGGCCCUCACCAUCCCCCCUGCGGGUCCCCGCCGACCCCUGCUCCCCCUCGCAGAACUAGGCCUGCGGGCGCGGGCGCUGCUGCCCGGUAGCCACGCCGCGGACACGGAGUGCCAGGCGCUGGCCGCGCAGCUGGCCGAGGAGGCACCGCUGUCUCGGCGGCCGGCGACGCACAGCCAGUAUGGCGGCCCGUGGCGCAGCUUCCUGGCCUGGUGCCGGCGGCGCGCCCCGCCGGUCCCACCCUACGCCGCCUCGCCGCAGCUGGUCGCCCUCUAUCUGCAAUCGGUCCUCAACUCGGCCACCGCGGACGGGUCCGGCCCUAGCCGAGUCGACGUAGCUGGCAAGGCCAUCGCCUUCCACUACAGCCUGGCGGGCCUGCCCAACCCAGCCGCAGCGGAAAGCUGCGCAAACGUGCGCGCCACCGCGGCCCGGCGGCUGCAGGUGCAGCGCUUGCACCGGGAGGCCAUGUCCGCCGCCGACCUGGCGGCGGUCCUGUGCGCCCACGCCGGGCCCGGCGCCCCGCUGCUGCGCCUCAUGAUGGCCACGACCGUGGCCCUCAUGUUCUACGGUUUCCUGCGGUUUGACGACAUGGCGGAGGUCAGCGUUCACGCCGACCUGCUGCUCAUCACGCCCCGCCACAUGGCCAUUUUCAUCCCCCGGUCCAAGACCGACGUGGCCAUGGACGGUCAGUGGGUGCACAUCGCCCGGCUGCCCCACCUAGGCGGUUUCUGCCCCGUGGCGCUCACGGAGCGGCUGCUGCGCCAAGGCGCCUACCGCCGCCUUCCGGCGGCGGCCGAUGAGGACGUCGGGCCGCUGCUCCGUACGGUGCAGUACACGGCCGCCGGCGGCCGGCUGCAGCGCCUGGUGGGCACGCGGGCUUCGCCGGUGUUCAGCAUGUCUUACGGCGCUUUCCGCUCCAACUUCCUGGCCCGCCUGCGGGAGGCGGGCGUCUCGGGCAACAUCAAGCCGCACUCGAUGCGCAUUGGUGGCAACAGCGCCGCGGCUGACGCGGGAGUUCCGGCGUCCCUGCGGCAGGUGCAUGGCCGCUGGAAGCCCGCCACUAUGGUCGGUCACUACACACGCCCCACCCUCGAGGACACCCUCGGUGUCACCCGCGCUAUGGGCCUCGCUGGAGGUGAGGUAUCUCUUCGUUUUUCCGCUUGUAAGGCCCUCCUCCUGUGGCCUGUCGUCCCCUUGUCCCACUUCCUUGUCAGCUGUCAGCGGCCUAAUGGCGCCAAAGGGAGACAGCUUUACAGUACGACUGUAUCAUGGAAGUGGGGUUAGAGGCGGAGGACCGGAGGCCCCGAAGGGGCCGGAGGGAAUGAAGCCUCUAAGCGAGCUUCCAUGAGGAAGUCGUACAGGCUGGCUCUCUUUGGCGCCAGCCUCCUCUCUCUUCUUCAUUCCGCCUUCAUAGUGAGAGCUUUUAACGUUACUUCUAACGUUCUCACUCAAGUGCCCGCCCUUCUUUCCCGCCCCUCUUUUUCGGCUAAUCUCCCCUCCGCGCAGGAUCGCUCGGCCCUUCCGGCGCCGGCGCCUCCGGCAUCCGUGCUGUUGCCUCGGUGUCGCCGCCGGUUCGCGCGGCCGAGACAGCUUUACAGUACGACUGUAUCAUGGAACCGACUCCCGUACGCACGUCAAACUCUCAGAAUCCCCAUGCAUUCCAACCUUUCCAAACCGCAAUGAACUGGCGCAUACUCAAGUACUUGUCCGUUCGUUCACCAGCACACGUCGCUACGUUGCAUCAGUCCUCUACUACGUAGGUCAGUAGGUAUACAAGCAGCGGCCCCUGCUCUGGCCCGCCGGGCCCUCCUCUGGGUUGGUCUCCGGCACGGACACAGCCAUGCCGGAGGAGAAAAGUUUCAUUGCUCCAACGCAGCAAUAUGGACCCAAGUAUGGUCCUUGCAUGUGUUACAGCUGCUGGCGCAGCUGCUUACGUGGGGCACGCGCUCCAGCAAGCCGGCCGCUCCGUCAAGGACAGCUUGGAGCGCGCCGGGCUGCAGACCGUGCAGACCGUGCAGCAUACCGUAUGCAAGAACACGGGCCACAUUUCAGUUCUCCGGCCAAGAAGGAGAAGUCGGCCAAGGAUGCGUGAGCGGGUGAAGGGCCAGAGACGCUUCAUUAGCGUGUACCACGCCGUUCCAGCAGCAAUACAUGGUGGGUGGGGAUGGCCACACGAUGUCGUGCUGGGCCUUGUCCUGCUAACGACGACGAGCUCAUCCAGUCCCAAGGCCCAGCACGACAAGUGGCUAUCCACGCUCACCACGUAUUGCUGCUGGAACGGCUUGGUGCACGCAAAUGAAGCGCCUCUGGCCCUUCACCAGCUCACGCAUCCUUGGCCGGCUUCUCCUUCUUGGCCGGAGAACUGACAUGUGGCCCAUGCUCUUGCAUAUGCUGCACGGUCUGCAGCCCGGCGCGCUCUAAGCUGUCCUUAAUGGAGCGGCCGGCUUGCUGGAGCGAGUGUCCGACGUAAGCAACCGCGCCGGAAGCGGUAACACACGCGAGGAUCACAUUUGGGUCCAUAUUGCUGCAAUGGUGCAAGACAUCUUUCGUUCAGGCCUCCUCCCUGCUAAAAGAACUCCUGCUGCCAGAUGCUUACCACCUUGCAAGAGUUGUCAGCGUUGGCUUCUGUGAGGUAUUCAGGUUGCUUGUGAACAAAAAUCAGCUUGCCUGUACUUGUUCUGCACGGGUUUGUCCCCUCUAGCCUCUAGGUCGCCCCGUUUGCGAUCGCGAUCGGGCCGAUGGGCCGAUGGGCUGCGCCCCCCCCCCCCCCCCCCCUAAAAGGUAUAAGUGCGCCCCACCCCAGCAACAACGGGAGCACCAGCACAGCAGUGCUUUACAACUUGGUACACAGCCGUGCCACAACGCGGAUGCGAGCCCUGACAGCCAGGCAUUGCCACCGUGCGUGAAGUGGAGCAGUGCACGCGUCGCGACCCACACCGAACCACCCCCCUGCACCUGCGGCCCCCCCACCACCACACUGUGCCCACAAACUCACACCCUUCCCCUCUGGUUAUGGCCGGCUGAGGUACAUGCCUUUCCGCGCGGGGUACUGCCGCCCAGCGUCUGUUUACUCUCGGCUUCCUCACUGCCGCUCAAGCCAUCACGCACACGCCGGCCUCGCGUUCGCAAAGCCCGACCCAACACAUCAUCCAAGCGUCUAUGCUGUUCGAAAACCACGUGCGAAACCCCUGCGCGCAAUACCUCAAUCAAUAGCGGGCAGUCGCCACGGCAUGCCGCGUCAACAGAUGCGCAGCACGCGUGCAGUACCGCACCUCCGCUUGCACCGCAUUAGUGAGUAUUACCACACUAUAGGCACGCAAGCCAGGAACCCGUGUGCCCCUGUGCCCAUGCGGCGGCGGCGGCAGCGGCAAUGCCGACGCAGGCACGUAUCCUCCACACCCGCCACGCACCAGCAUCAGCCCCCUACAAAACCCCGCUCCGCCACUACCACAAGCACGCGCCUUGGUGAGAGAGAUGCUUGUGUGUUUGUGUGCGUGUGUGAGCAUCGGCAAAUGCCGAGCCCGAAUGCAAACUUGCGGCACCCGUCAGGAAAAAAACUGGUCGGUCUGCUGACACGCAGAGCCGCACUUACGGCGUCCCGCCGCGUGUGGCGCAAGACGCGCUUGGCAAAGUCGCAAUGCUCUCACACGCGUGCAUGUUGCCGUACCGGGCGCCACGCUAUGCCGUACUCAGCCAUGUCACCGUGCCCGACACGCAAACACUCCGUGGGGGAGAGCCAUGCGCAGCCCCCUUCAACAGCCAUGCAGAUCCCGUGAAGAGCUAUCAUGCAAGCCCGUUCCGGCGUAAAGGGGCUCAAAAUUUGAGCUGCAGUGGAGGCCAACACAAACGCACACACGUACACGCGCUUACGUGCUGCCUGCCUGGCCGCCUGCCUACAACUGUCUGCCCGCCCGGCCUGACCUCGGGGAUGGCGACUGGGCCUUGGGACUGGAUGAGUUCAUCGUCAGAAGCAGGACACGGCCCAUCCACUCUUGUCCUGCUAACGACGACGAGCUCAUCCAGUCCCAAGGCCCAGCACGACAUUGUGGCUAUCCACGCUCACCACGUAUUGCUGCUGGAACGGCUUGGUGCACGCAAAUGAAGCGCCUCUGGCCCUUCAUCAGCUCACGCAUCCUUGGCCGGCUUCUCCUUCUUGGCCGGAGAACUGACGUGUGGCCCAUGCUCUUGCAUAUGCUGCACGGUCUGCAGUCCGGCGCGCUCCAAGCCGUCCUUAAUGGAGCCCAAGCCGUCCUUAACGGAGCGCCCGGCUUGCUGGAGCGAGUGCCCGAUGUAAGCAGCUGCGCCGGAAGCUGUAACACACGCGAGGAUUACGUUUGGGUCCAUAUUGCUGCAAUGGUGCAAGAGAACUUGACCUCCUUCCUGCUGAAGAACUCCUGCUGCCAGAUGCUCACCACCUUGCAAGAGUUGUCAGCGUUGGCUUCUGUGAGGUAUUCAGCUUGCUUAUGAACAUAAAUCAGCUUGCUUGCA